AUGCGAAAGCAGUUGAAGACAAACAGAAAGAAGUCUGGAAACAGAAGUCGAGUAGGUUUGUACAGUUCGUAAGAACAUAUUAUGGCCUCGUCAAGCGGUGGAGAGAGCCACUGAGGGAUCGUCAGAUGUACUCAGUCUCUAUACAGCGCAAGACAUGGGUGAUGAAUCUGCUUUUGUUUUGUGAAGUUAUUGUUGAGGGAACUUUCCCUCUUUCAGUAGCGGAUCGAAUCACACGAUUCUAGCCUGAACAGUCUCGUCCUGGACAUCUAGCGAUUCCAUGGGCGAGCAGCGGAGGAUUUGGUGGAUUACUAGCCAAUGGCAAUCCAAACCAAAGAAUCUGAUUCGGGGGAAUGCCUCAUUGGAUAGCCGGUGCCUUUUUUGGGGGUACUGUGAUUCUCUGAGUGUAACCUCCUCUUUGGUUGCUGAUAUUAAACCUGUGCUGUGAAACAUCGGGACAGUGUUUAGUGGAAAGCAACUAGAGGAAUUCAAAGAGUGCUAUGGUAAGGGGACGGUUGCAGGGAGAGUGUAAAAGCUCGAACAGUGAUUUAGUCCAACACAGUCGUGGGAAAGAGAAAAAGAUUUUAUAUCCUUUUUUCGCUUCUGCUUCUGUAUUAUCUAUCAGUCUAUCAUCGAAGAACUCCUGGGUGUGCUUAGGUGCGCUUAAGAGUUAUUCUUUUAAGAUAGU
RNAcentral lists this unclassified non-coding RNA (685 nucleotides) under Eremothecium sinecaudum. RNAcentral describes it as "external transcribed spacer". Lineage: Eukaryota; Fungi; Ascomycota; Saccharomycetes; Saccharomycetales; Saccharomycetaceae. The record is from RNAcentral.